GUGUAUUUGGAAUUGUAGAUACAUCAUUUCGUUGUCAUGUGCUGAAGAUGGGAGUGCUUGAAAGUGCUAUAACUUGGGGAUUGGACUGAUGGCAUUUAUGCAGCUUUAGUAUGUCUGUGAUCAAAGGGGAACUUCGAUGGUUACAGCAUCGAAACAAAAAGACCAACCGGUAGACUUUCAGCUGCCGGGGGAGAAUUUGCAAUGCUUUGCGACAGGAAUCAGUGCCUAAUGUUAUGGAUACAAUUUGGACAGGUAAGUGCUAAUGUUAGCUCCAGUCCUGGUGCUAUUAGUGAGGUUAAGAAAUUUUGUAUUAAAUCCUUCUUUCUUAGUUCUAU
This is a long non-coding RNA of Rosa rugosa (rugosa rose), 335 nucleotides long. RefSeq lists it as uncharacterized. The transcript is spliced from 3 exons. Lineage: Eukaryota; Viridiplantae; Streptophyta; Magnoliopsida; Rosales; Rosaceae. The record is from RefSeq and is a predicted model, not a curated record.